This 841-nucleotide ribosomal RNA is filed under the name uncultured bacterium. RNAcentral's name for it is "bacterial SSU rRNA". It matches the Rfam family "Bacterial small subunit ribosomal RNA", at positions 26 to 898 of the family's 1533-position model. The record is from RNAcentral.
AGAAUCAACGCUGGCGGCGUGCCUAACACAUGCAAGUCGAACGAGAAAGUGGAGCAAUCCAUGAGUAAAGUGGCGCACGGGUGAGUAACACGUGACUAACCUACCUUUUAGUGGGGGAUAACCUAGGGAAACCUGGGCUAAUACCGCAUAAUACCUACGGGUCAAAGCAGCAAUGCGCUGAAAGAGGGGGUCGCGGCCGAUUAGCUAGUUGGCGGGGUAAUGGCCCACCAAGGCAGUGAUCGGUAUCCGGCCUGAGAGGGCGCACGGACACACUGGAACUGAAACACGGUCCAGACUCCUACGGGAGGCAGCAGUGGGGAAUUUUGCGCGAUGGGGGAAACCCUGACGCAGCAACGCCGCGUGGAGGAUGAAGUCCCUUGGGACGUAAACUCCUUUCGAUCGGGACGAUAAUGACGGUACCGGAAGAAGAAGCCCCGGCUAACUUCGUGCCAGCAGCCGCGGUAAUACGAGGGGGGCAAGCGUUGUUCGGAAUUAUUGGGCGUAAAGGGUGCGUAGAUGGUUCGGCAAGUCUUGUGUGAAAUCUUCAGGCUCAACUUGAAGUCUGCACAAGAAACUGCCGGGCUUGAGUAUGGGAGAGGUGAGUGGAAUUUCCGGUGUAGCGGUGAAAUGCGUAGAUAUCGGAAGGAACACCUGUGGCGAAAGCGGCUCACUGGACCGUUACUGACACUGAGGCACGAAAGCUAGGGGGGCAAACAGGAUUAGAUACCCUGGUAGUCCUAGCCCUAAACCAUGAUUGCUUGGUGUGACGGGUACCCAAUCCCGCCGUGCCGUAGCUAACGCGUUAAGCAAUCCGCCUGGGGAGUACGGUCGCAAGGCUGAA